GAUGAACGCUGGCGGCGUGCCUAACACAUGCAAGUCGAGCGAACAGACGAGGAGCUUGCUCCUCUGACGUUAGCGGCGGACGGGUGAGUAACACGUGGAUAACCUACCUAUAAGACUGGGAUAACUUCGGGAAACCGGAGAUAAUACCGGAUAAUAUAUUGAACGGCAUGGUUCAAUAGUUAAUGACGGUUUUGCUGUCACCUAUAGACGGAUCCGCGCCGCAUUGGCUAUGUGGUAAGGUAACGGCUUACCAAGGCAACGAUCCGUAGCUGACCUGAGAGGGGGAUCCGCCCCACUGGAACUGAGACACGGUCCAGACUCCUACGGGAGGCAGCAGUAGGGAAUAUUGCGCAAUGGGCGCAAGCUUGACGGAGCCACGCCGCGUGAGUGAUGAAGGUCUUCGGAUCGUAAAACUCUGUUAUUAGGGAAGAACAAAUGUGUAAGUAACUAUGCCCGUCUUGACGGUACCUAAACAAAAAGCCCCGGCUAACUACGUG
RNAcentral lists this ribosomal RNA (497 nucleotides) under uncultured bacterium. RNAcentral's name for it is "partial 16S ribosomal RNA". It matches the Rfam family "Bacterial small subunit ribosomal RNA", at positions 28 to 507 of the family's 1533-position model. The record is from RNAcentral.